RNAcentral lists this ribosomal RNA (885 nucleotides) under Dimidiographa loandensis. RNAcentral's name for it is "LSU rRNA". It matches the Rfam family "Eukaryotic large subunit ribosomal RNA", at positions 40 to 943 of the family's 3401-position model. The record is from RNAcentral. Lineage: Eukaryota; Fungi; Ascomycota; Arthoniomycetes; Arthoniales; Roccellographaceae.
AUAUCAAUAAGCGGAGGAAAAGAAACCAACAGGGAUUGCCUCAGUAACGGCGAGUGAAGCGGCAGCAGCUCAAAUUUGAAAUCUGGCCCCUCGGGGUUCGAGUUGUAAUUUGUAGAGGAUGCUUCGGCUUGGGCCCCGGGACAGGUCCCUUGGAACAGGGCGCCGUAGAGGGUGAGAGCCCCGUACCCGCCCGGGUGACCCUCGCCGUGUGAAGCCCCUUCGAAGAGUCGAGUUGUUUGGGAAUGCAGCUCUAAGCGGGAGGUAUAUUUCUUCUAAAGCUAAAUACCGGCCAGAGACCGAUAGCGCACAAGUAGAGUGAUCGAAAGAUGAAAAGCACUUUGGAAAGAGAGUUAAAAAGCACGUGAAAUUGUUGAAAGGGAAGCUCUUGCCGCCAGACUUGCCGCGGUUGCUCAGCCGUCCCCCUCGGUCGGUGCACUCUUCCGCGGCAGGCCAGCGUCAGUUCGGGCGGUCGGAUAAAGGCCCCGGGAAUGUGGCCCCCCUCGGGGGGUGUUAUAGCCCGGGGCGCAAUGCGGCCAGCCCGGUCUGAGGGAAGCGUUCGCGAGGACGCUGGCGUAAUGGCCGCAAGCGACCCGUCUUGAAACACGGACCAAGGAGUCUAACAUCUGUGCGAGUGUUUGGGCGUCAAACCCACGCGCGUAAUGAAAGUGAACGGAGGUGGGAACCCCCCCAAGGGGCGCACCAUCGACCGAUCCUGAUGUCCUCGGAUGGAUUUGAGUAAGAGCAUAGCUGUUGGGACCCGAAAGAUGGUGAACUAUACCUAAAUAGGGUGAAGCCAGAGGAAACUCUGGUGGAGGCUCGCAGCGGUUCUGACGUGCAAAUCGAUCGUCAAAUUCGGGUAUAGGGGCGAAAGACUAAUCGAACCAU